RNAcentral lists this ribosomal RNA (497 nucleotides) under uncultured bacterium. RNAcentral describes it as "partial 16S ribosomal RNA". It matches the Rfam family "Bacterial small subunit ribosomal RNA", at positions 28 to 507 of the family's 1533-position model. The record is from RNAcentral.
GACGAACACUGGCGGCGUGCCUAAUACAUGCAAGUUGAGCGCUGAAGGUUGGUACUUGUACCAACUGGAUGAGCAGCGAACGGGUGAGUAACGCGUGGGGAAUCUGCCUUUGAGCGGGGGACAACAUUUGGAAACGAAUGCUAAUACCGCAUAAAAACUUUAAACACAAGUUUUAAGUUUGAAAGAUGCAAUUGCAUCACUCAAAGAUGAUCCCGCGUUGUAUUAGCUAGUUGGUGAGGUAAAGGCUCACCAAGGCGAUGAUACAUAGCCGACCUGAGAGGGUGAUCGGCCACAUUGGGACUGAGACACGGACCAAAAUCCUACGGGAGGCAGCAGUAGGGAAUCUUCGGCAAAGGACGAAAGGCUGACCGAGCAACGGCGGGGGAGGGAAGAAGGUUGUCGGAUCGUAAAACUCUGUUGGUAGAGAAGAACGUUGGUGAGAGUGGAAAGCGCAUCAAGUGACGGUAACUACCCAGAAAGGGACGGCUAACUACGUG